AACAAGAUAUGUCUUACACAGGCUGAGAAAAUGCAACUAGGAAACAUAUCUAAGUAAAUAACUUCCAUUCUGUUGUAUCAAUUUGUAUUGAAUGACGUAUUACUUGGUAGCUCAAAAUAUGUAAUUUAUGACUACAGCCAAGAACACAUAUAUAAAAAUAAAAUAAUGGCUGCUAUUCCUAAAAUGUCUGAGAAUAAACACAGGUUUGUAUUUUACUAAGGAAGAACAAUACAUCCCACUAAGUGACAAGAUAACACUUGCUUGAUUAGUGCCAAGAAAAAAAAAGUAUUUCCAUUGGCUCUCAAGGACUCUCUCAGCUACAAAAGGUAUUGGCAAACCGGGGGUCUCCCUGGUCUACUCCAUGCCCUCCCAGAAUGUGUCCCUGCGGCUGCAGGGCCUCCAGGAAAAAGACUCUGGGUCCUACCGCUGCUCUGUGAAUGUGCAAGACCACCAAGGCAUCAAAAGGAGCCACAGCAGCAAAACUCUAGAGCUCAGGGUGCUGGUUCCUCCAGCUUCUCCAACCUGCCGUCUCCUGGGUGUGCCUCGUGUGGGGACCAACGUGACCCUGAGCUGCCAGUCCCUAAGGAGUAAGCCAGCUGCCCAGUACCAGUGGGAGCGGGCACCCCCAUCCGCCCAGGUUUUCUUUGCACCAGUUUUAGGUGAGGGAGCUUGAGGCUGUGGCUGGGGGAGGGAAAGAUGAGAGGCACCAGAGGGACUGGGGUGAAAAGGGGAGGCAAUGCUGCAAAGUCCUGGGGCAGAGUUGGCAGAGGAGGAGGAUGUAGGGAGGGGACUGGAGAAAGAGAGCCUACCAGACAGGCAAUGUGUUGGGUGCUUUCAGAUACUGUAUACUUAUGACACUCAAGAGGACAUGUGGCCUACUAGAUUACCUGUGCUCACAUCUAACAGAACAUGCUGGAGUGUACUGCACAUAGUUAAGGAGAAUAUCAUUUUGUGGAUUAAGCAAAUGAAUAUUUGUGAAACACUUCCAACAGUGCGUGGCACGUGACAAAUGUUAUGUAAGUCUUAGCUAUAAUCAUAAUUUUGUGAAAAGUGUUUCAGUCACACAUAUAUAUCAUCAGAAUAUUAGGCCACAGGGUAAAAUAUAUGUCUUCCUAUUCUAUGUUCAAAAGAUGCACUGCUUUGGUUUUUCUUUCCAGUAUAUAAGAAUGAGAUAUAUAAUAGAUAUUUGCACAACUACAAUCCAACACUAUAAAAAGGUUAUUUAUCAAAACAUAGGGAUGCCUGAGUGGCUCAGUCGUUAUGCAUCUGCCUUCGGCUCAG
Non-coding RNA from Callorhinus ursinus (northern fur seal), 1281 nucleotides. Lineage: Eukaryota; Metazoa; Chordata; Mammalia; Carnivora; Otariidae. The record is from RefSeq and is a predicted model, not a curated record.